RNAcentral lists this long non-coding RNA (1426 nucleotides) under Heterocephalus glaber (naked mole-rat). RNAcentral's name for it is "lncRNA (ENSHGLG00100036812.1)". The record is from RNAcentral. Lineage: Eukaryota; Metazoa; Chordata; Mammalia; Rodentia; Bathyergidae.
CCUGUUUCUGCUGCUCAAGCAUCCUCCAAUGUAUGCAUUUCUUCUAAGAAGACCAACUUCCUCUUUCUUCACAAUAAAGGCCAUAACAGACACUUGCGAUUGUACUAACUACUUAAAAAUACUUUUCUGUGGGAGACAAUAAAAAGCAAAUUCUUUCAUCGCAUCUCCCUCUUCCUGGUCUAACUUCCUCCUUCUUCCAGAGACACCUCCCAAGAGGAAUCCCCUGGGCUCCGAGAACUUCCGGAAGCACAUUCACCAGCCUGAGGCUGCGGGGCGGGAGGGUCACACAGCUUAGCCUGCCUCACAAACACUCUCACUUCCCACUUCCUCUGGUUCUGUCACCUCCCUGAGCUUGGGAAUGAGACAUUUAAAUCACCACAGCCCACUCAGAGAUGCUGCAGCUGCCAAUUAGACCUCUUCUCGGGAUUUGUGUUUAGGAAAGGGCCCCAGUUGUUUGGCUCUCUCCAGAAAAUGACUUAUGAAGAUGCCUUUGGAUCAUGUGACUCCUGGUUAAAAAAAUAAACAGCCCAAUUGUUGACACCUGACCUGCAACUGAGACAGAAGCCUUUACCACAUGGGGUGAGAUACAGAUUUCUCAAGAAAUGUCACUUGCUUUGUUUUUCUUAGCCUGGAAAGCCAAUUUGCAUGUUUUGUAUAAAGCUGAAUCUGAACCGGUGAGCCCUGUGGUAUCAAUAAUCUGAACUGUUCAAAAGUUGCUUUUUUUGCAGAGCAAGAAUAAAUGACAAGGGCUUUGGAAAUGAGAGGGUUCAGAGCCAUUCUGUAUCCUGUGCUGUCCUUGGCUGCUGGAUUGCUGACCUGGGGCUUUUACCUGGUGGUCUGAUGAGUCAUGACAUUCAUAAAAAGAGAAGAUAGCAGAGAUACUUGGAAGCUUCCUCCAGUCUGCUCCUUGGGUCUUCUGCUUACCAACUGUGCAACGCUGGGCAACAUGAGACUCCGUGCCUCAGACUGCUAAGACUCAAAAUGAGGGCGAAAGGCUGCUCUGCUCACCUCAGAAGUUUGUCUCAAUUUUCUAUAACAGAAAAUGUGUGCUAGCAUAGAUUUGGCCUAAUUAUAGCAUUUCCAUAAAUAAGUGAGGAGAGAGGAGAAAUGAUGGUUCUGAGGCCAUCUGUCAUGAAUUGACUAAUGUAACCCUUGAGAACCUAGAAUUAUACUUGGACUCAUCAUUGAGGCAGUCACUCUGUGCUUUCAAAUGAAAAAUUAAAACCAUAGAAUAAGAGAGAAGGCUUCCCUUAUCAAAACCCGGAAGCUAUUUGACCCAACUAGUCCAACUCAGAAGCACAAUUACGUAGUCAAUUAUAGUUUGUGUGUGAGGCUUAAAGUGACUUCUGUGAGUGCUUUGUCAGAGUGCGUAUCAGAGUACUAGGUUACUUAACAUUUUAAAUAAAAUGAAUGGUACAGGGGCCGG